Molecule: ribosomal RNA, 253 nt
Filed under: uncultured bacterium
Lineage: Bacteria
Description: partial 16S ribosomal RNA
Rfam family: Bacterial small subunit ribosomal RNA
Source: RNAcentral
GACAGAGGUUGCAAGCGUUGUUCGGAAUUACUGGGCGUAAAGCGUGCGUAGACGGUUAUUUAAGUCGGGUGUGAAAGCCCCGGGCUCAACCUGGGAAUUGCAUUCGAGACUGAAUAGCUAGGGUACGGUAGAGGGAAGCGGAAUUUCCGGUGUAGCGGUGAAAUGCGUAGAUAUCGGAAGGAACAUCAGUGGCGAAAGCGGCUUCCUGGACCAGUACCGACGUUCAGGCACGAAAGCGUGGGGAGCAAACAGG